UGUUUGAUGAUGUUCGCCAUCGCCCACUCUAUGGUCGUGAUCGUCGUCUCCAUUCCGGUCGUGAAGAACUCGUGGGCCAAACUCACCGCCUCGUCAUCGGUUGGCUUUCUGCAUGCAUAACAUAAUCAAUAAUCGAUCAAUUUCAAAUUCAAAUAACAUCAAAUCGGUAAUUAAUUUCACCAGACCUGAUUGUGCCAUCUUCUACAGGUAUGUCUAGGGCGAGAACAGUAUCGAUGUAAGAAUUUUCCUUGAUGCCUUGUUCAUCACGCCGACGACGUAUUUUUUGGAUGAUCGGUAUAUAUAAUUCCUCUUGUCUCUUUCUCAUCGAAGUGAACGAACGCCAUCUUUUGAAAUAAAG
Molecule: long non-coding RNA, 358 nt
Filed under: Zostera marina
Lineage: Eukaryota; Viridiplantae; Streptophyta; Magnoliopsida; Alismatales; Zosteraceae
Description: long non-coding RNA (ZMAR_LNC003066)
Source: RNAcentral